GGAGUGAACGCUACGCGGCAGGCGUUACACAUGCAAGUCGAGGGGCGAGUCGGAGGUAAGCUUGCUUCCUUGCCGGCGACCGGCGCACGGUGAGUAACACGUAUGCAACCUGCCCUCUUCACGGGGGAGAACCUUCCGAAGGGAGGCUAAUCCCGCGUAUAUCGGUUUCGGGCAUCCGAGAUCGAGGAAAGAUUCAUCGGAAGAGGAUGGGCAUGCGGCGCAUUAGCUUGACGCGGGGGUAACGGCCCACCGUGGCGACGAUGCGUAGGGGUUCUGAGAGGAAGGUCCCCCACACUGGUACUGAGACACGGACCAGACUCCUACGGGGGGCAGCAGUGAGGAAUAUUGGUCAAUGGGAGAGAUCCUGAACCAGCCAAGCCGCGUGAGGGAAGACGGCCCUAUGGGUUGUAAACCUCUUUUGUCGGAGAACAAAACCCGGGAUGUGUCCCGGACUGCGUGUAUCCGAAGAAAAAGCAUCGGCUAACUCCGUG
Molecule: ribosomal RNA, 491 nt
Filed under: uncultured Bacteroidota bacterium
Lineage: Bacteria; Pseudomonadati; Bacteroidota
Description: bacterial SSU rRNA
Rfam family: Bacterial small subunit ribosomal RNA
Source: RNAcentral